Nematostella vectensis (starlet sea anemone) is the source of this 1120-nucleotide long non-coding RNA. RefSeq lists it as uncharacterized. The transcript has 2 exons. Lineage: Eukaryota; Metazoa; Cnidaria; Anthozoa; Actiniaria; Edwardsiidae. The record is from RefSeq and is a predicted model, not a curated record.
AUGUUCACAGCAAAAAAGGCAGAUUGAAAAUAGUAUUUAAUGAGAAAAUAUGCGGAUUCAAAUGGGCUGAAAUCUUUGAGGAACCGUUUUGUCUGAAGUACGAGCCGAUUGUAAAAUCUACCCGAGUGUUCGUGAAUCCCGUCCGUUUUGCAGCAACAAAAAGACUACUUAGAGACUCUACACUACCAUUCUAAUAACAUUCCUUCACGUCUAUAUCUAUGGAGAUCUAUAAGGAGAUCCUGAGAAGAAAGGGCCUUGGAUUUAUUAUGUUUUCAGCUAUAAAAAUAGUUCAAUUGUGUCAACGAGUUUCUUGCUAUCAGAAAGUCGACAAGUUCACAGUUUACAACAAAAAGCGAACACAACCACACAAGCGACAAACAGAAAGCGACGAAAAACACUGCCAAGGUAAAACCAACCAAGGGCUACCCGAGGGCCAUGAUUGAUGCUGAAGGCUGGGAGGCAUGAGAAUAGGCAAAUGUCUUAAAGAUAAUAAAGUAGAGGAUUUCUUACUUUUAUACAGCAGUAAAUGUGGAAUAGGCUUUUUAAAGCAAAUACUUGCCCUCAAUGAUAGAUUUUUUCUAUCAACCUAAAGAUAAUGAGGAAAGGGAAAAUGUUAGGAGAGUGCUCAACCAAGUUGUUGCAUUACUGAUGAUUUUUUUUAUCAAAGCUAUAGUCCUCUAUCUCUUGACUAUUGAUAUUAUUUGCUGUUUCCUCUCUGCACCCUAAAUAAAUUAAAAUAGGUAAUAGGUUUGAAAUUAGACAUUUUCAAUCAAUUUGUUCUCCUCCUUGCAUUCAAUUUUGGAGUAGCAUUAGCAUAUGUGGAUCCAUGGUUUCUAUAAAAAAGAAGCAGGCCACCAUCCUACAGGGUGGGUGCACCAAUGUCUAAUGCAUGACUGGAGGUAUGUUUGUGAAUUUUAAUUUCCUUGGUGAUGGAGUAUCACCAUAAAUAUACUUAAAUUAUAUAAAGACAACAUCAAACUUGUGCUUUUUCAAUAAUAAAUCUGUAAAGAAAACAGGGGAAAAUGUUAGGAAUAUGCUCAUUUAAGCUAUUAUUGCAUUGUUGUUAUAUAUUUUUUAAAGUAGAGUCACAUUUGUUUCAAAUAGAGUCAUUCAUUUCUCC